CUAUGUAGCUCAGUAGGUAGAGCACUUCCUUGGUAAGGAAGAGGUCGCCGGUUCGAUUCCGUUCAUAG
This 68-nucleotide transfer RNA is filed under the name human gut metagenome. It matches the Rfam family "tRNA". Rfam says of the family: Transfer RNA (tRNA) molecules are approximately 80 nucleotides in length. Their secondary structure includes four short double-helical elements and three loops (D, anti-codon, and T loops). RNAcentral also lists the same sequence under 1 other name. The record is from RNAcentral.